Molecule: long non-coding RNA, 1406 nt
Filed under: Homo sapiens (human)
Lineage: Eukaryota; Metazoa; Chordata; Mammalia; Primates; Hominidae
Description: HSALNT0396164
Source: RNAcentral
GCAGAAAGUGUUUCAGGCUCUGCAGAGGUGACACUGGCGUGUUUCUGCACUCAGGGUGCCCUUCCUGCCUUUUCCUCCCGGACACAGAGUCACAAGUGUGCACAGGGAAUGACAGACUCGGCGUCCAGUGGAGCCAUCCCCUGGCCUCGGAGUAGGAGGCGCGCCCAGGCCAGGCCAGACCACAGUGUAACAGGAGGGAGGAGGGCUUGCUUCUUUCAGGCAAGAAAAUUAAAACGGACAAAGAAAUAAAAGUAUUAAAUGUAUAGGAAAAACUGGAGUUUUUAUGACAGCGAUCAUCUAUAAAGAAACCAAGAGAAGUAAGCAAACAUUUGAACUAGCUCAGACAAGCAGCCUGCUUCACCCGCAGUUCACAAGGAAAACCCACAAUCAUAACGUUAAAAAUAUUCCCAAGCGCCGGGCGCGGUGGCUCACGCCUGUAAUCCCAGAACUUUGGAAGGCCAAGGUGAGAAAAUUGCUUAAGGUCAGGAGUUCAAGACCAGCCUAACCAACAUGGUGAAACCCCAUCUCUACUAAAAAUACAAAAAUUAGCCAGGCGUGGUGGCAGGUGCCUGUAAUCCCAGCAACUCGGGAAGCUGAGGUACGAGAAUCGCUUGAACCUGGGAGGGGGAAGUUGCAGUGAGCCGAGAUAGCGCCAUUGCACUCCAGCCUGGGCGACAGAGCGAGACUAAAAAAUGAAAUAUGAAAUGAAAUGAAAUAAUGAAAUGAAGAAAUGAAAUAUAAAAUAAAAUAAUCCCAAGCUUGGGACCCAGACUCUAACUGCUGAAAUGGAACCCCAGUGUGGAUCAGAACCUGGUGAUGAGACAGGGACACUUAAGAAUUCAACUUUGGGAGCUCAAGGUGCCCUCCAGUCCUCUCCUCACAGUGUGGAAACACUCUUUCCUUCAAAACCUUCAUUUGUACCAGCAGGAAACUCUCACCCGGAGUCAAUGUAAAGUCGUGACCUAAAUAAAUUGUCAUGUUCCCAAACCUUUUCUCCAGGGGACAAUGCAAACAAGUUUUUCACUGAGUCUGACCCUCACAGAUUUUCUUCAUGUAUACAAAUUACAGCCUGACUCAGCGACCCCAUGAAUGCUAAAACCAAAACACUGUCCAGGAAAUGGCCCCAGGCGCCAAAGGCUCCAGACUGGUCUCAGGCUCUCCUGCCCACUGCAGUUUAUUCACUUGCUUCUCACCAACACUGAUCCACUUAGGUAAGAAAAAAGACCUUCAAUCCCCUUUGCUGUUUGUUUGUUUUUAAGAAACUAGCAGAGUUCCUGCUUUCCUUCUGUGGUUAUGUAUAAGCUGGAAGACAAAAAAUUCUAAAAUACUUUAUAUGGAUUUUAAAACUGGCAAGUAAUGAUUCCUUUGAGAAAACAAAGAUAUCAGCUAUGCUAUUAUGAUUUAUA